CCCGCACCGUGCGCCGUCACGCCGCCGGCCUCAUGGGACGGCUCGGCGCCACCAGCCGGUUCGAGGCCGGCGUCCGGGCC
RNAcentral lists this transfer RNA (80 nucleotides) under Cellulosimicrobium cellulans. Its description in RNAcentral is "tRNA-Met". The record is from RNAcentral. Lineage: Bacteria; Bacillati; Actinomycetota; Actinomycetes; Micrococcales; Promicromonosporaceae.